AAACGUAGGACGCGAACGUUAUCCGGAGUUACUGGGCGUAAAGCGCGUGCAGGCGGUGAUGUAAGUUACCUAUGAAGGCUCUCGGCUAAACUGAGAGAGGCUAGGUGAAACUGCAUGACUAGAGUGAGAUAGAGGUGAGUAGAAUUCCAGGUGUAGUGGUGAAAUGCGUAGAUAUCUGGAGGAAUACCAGUGGCGAAGGCGGCUCACUGGCUCUCAACUGACGCUGAGACGCGAAAGCGUGGGUAGCGAACGGGAUUAGAAACCCUAGUAGUCC
RNAcentral lists this ribosomal RNA (274 nucleotides) under uncultured bacterium. RNAcentral describes it as "partial 16S ribosomal RNA". It matches the Rfam family "Bacterial small subunit ribosomal RNA", at positions 523 to 796 of the family's 1533-position model. The record is from RNAcentral.